GGAAGAAAAGUCGUAACAAGGUUUCUGAAGUAUUGCGUGAAUGAUGAUUCUUCCGCAGUGACACUUAUUGAAGCCGUUGUGGCCCUUCACAGGGUAGCCUCGCGACUAUAAACAAGAGAUGGUUUGCACAAGUAAUCUAGCAAGAUUGCAACAUAAUCGAAAUGCGGGGAUCUCCUAAAACCAUCUGGGUACUAACUCAGGAUAGAAAUAUCCUGAGGGCUUGUGUUAACAGCAUAAGGUAAAGUAACAAUCUCAAUGGAUGCUACAAUGGAUAAUCCGCAGCGAAACCUCUAAGGGUGUAAACUUAUGAGGUGCGUCCACAGACUAAGUGGUUAUGGGCGUUUGGCUGAGAAGUCAAAUGCUUAAGAUAUAGUCGGGCCAUGAUGGAAACAUUAUGGAGUAAGUCACUGUAUGAUUUACUGGUAAGUAGAAGUUGAGAGACUUUGAAAAUACCAUCUAACCGUUCCGUAGGUGAACCUGCGGAAGGAUCAUUA
This 494-nucleotide ribosomal RNA is filed under the name Sclerotinia trifoliorum. RNAcentral describes it as "partial 18S ribosomal RNA". The stretch from base 98 to 397 matches the Rfam family "Group I catalytic intron". Rfam says of the family: Group I catalytic introns are large self-splicing ribozymes. The record is from RNAcentral. Lineage: Eukaryota; Fungi; Ascomycota; Leotiomycetes; Helotiales; Sclerotiniaceae.